GAUAUAAAAUUCUAUCUCAGUUUCAAAUGGACAGCCAUUGUGUUUUGUUCGCUGGAGCGGCAAUUUUCCCUGGGAAAACCGUUUUUUCCUCCCGGUGCUGUGGCUGCGCGUGACUGGCGACCGCUUCGAGUCGGAUUUUCACUUUGUGGCUCUUCCGGUAGGCAGCAGCUUUGCUGAUUUGUUCGCACUUCGGACGGCAAAAACUAGGACUGUCAGCCAACAUUAAAUCUUUCCGCUUGUGGUGCUAUUCAUUCCUGCCUGUCAUAUAAUGCGGAACAAGGAACCGGAAACAAGAGCGAGAUGGAUCUUAUUGUGUGGCGAAUUGACGAAACGCGUGUUUUGUUUCUCGUAAAACCAAGACCUGGCAAGUGAAAAGAAUCGGAGAAAAUCCGCAUAGCAGAACCUUAACAGUAGCAUAUAGCAGGAAUCUUAUUAUACGGAGAAAGAACAUCUAAACUACUUGCAAU
Molecule: long non-coding RNA, 467 nt
Organism: Aedes aegypti (yellow fever mosquito)
Lineage: Eukaryota; Metazoa; Arthropoda; Insecta; Diptera; Culicidae
Exons: 2
Source: RefSeq, a predicted model, not a curated record